This 113-nucleotide small RNA is filed under the name Arabidopsis thaliana (thale cress). Its description in RNAcentral is "ATSL113000". Lineage: Eukaryota; Viridiplantae; Streptophyta; Magnoliopsida; Brassicales; Brassicaceae. The record is from RNAcentral.
UGGAGGAACAUUUUCAGGAGACGUUGGCUGGAAGAACUUGGUAUGAUGAUUCUUUUGAGCCACCAACAAAAGGAACUUUGGGUUCCAAUUUGCGUCUAAGAGCUUGCAAGCCU